CAGCCGCCACGGGAAUACGUAGGGUGCAAGCGUUAAUCGGAAUUACUGGGCGUAAAGCGCACGCAGGCGGUCUGACAAGUCAGAUGUGAAAUCCCCGGGCUUAACCUGGGAACUGCAUUUGAAACUGUCAGGCUGGAGUCUUGUAGAGGGGGGUAGAAUUCCAGGUGUAGCGGUGAAAUGCGUAGAGAUCUGGAGGAAUACCGGUGGCGAAGGCGGCCCCCUGGACAAAGACUGACGCUCAGGUGCGAAAGCGUGGGGAGCAAACAGGAUUAGAUACCCCGGUAGUCCCUGUCUCUUAUAC
RNAcentral lists this ribosomal RNA (301 nucleotides) under uncultured bacterium. RNAcentral describes it as "partial 16S ribosomal RNA". It matches the Rfam family "Bacterial small subunit ribosomal RNA", at positions 509 to 807 of the family's 1533-position model. The record is from RNAcentral.